GACGAACCGUGCGAACGUUGUUCGGAAUCACUGGGCUUAAAGGGCGCGUAGGCGGCUGCGCAAGUCCGGGGUGAAAGCCCCCAGCUCAACUGGGGAAGUGCCUUGGAUACUGUGCAGCUCGAGCGAGGCAGGGGUAGUGGGAACUUCCGGUGGAGCGGUGAAAUGCGUUGAUAUCGGAAGGAACGCCGGUGGCGAAAGCGCACUACUGGUCCUCUUCUGACGCUGAGGCGCGAAAGCCAGGGGAGCAAACGGG
Molecule: ribosomal RNA, 253 nt
Filed under: uncultured bacterium
Lineage: Bacteria
Description: partial 16S ribosomal RNA
Rfam family: Bacterial small subunit ribosomal RNA
Source: RNAcentral